GGAUGUGAAGACAAUCUGGCCGAGACAUUUCUUGCCCUGAAUGACUGUCAGGGUUGGUUGGCUUAUCUGAUCAGCUAGGUGAAGGUUCCUUUCCUUCUUCACUGCUCCAGGUCAUUUCUCCAGAAGCCGCAUGCUCAGUCAGGGAGGAUGGCCUUCCCGAAAGGAAAAGGACCUUUGCUUGAGGAUAUAUAAGUAGCUACAGUCCCCUACUAGAACCUCCAAACAAGCUUUCCCAAGUUUAGGUUCUUGCAGAACCAGAAUUCCGCCUGGUUAAGCUCAGGAGGUUUUAUAGGUUUUCUUCUAACUUCAACAGCUUGCACUUUCUUAGAGAUUAAGAGUCUGUACCUAGGU
RNAcentral lists this small nuclear RNA (351 nucleotides) under Sorex araneus (European shrew). RNAcentral's name for it is "7SK RNA (ENSSARG00000018051.1)". It matches the Rfam family "7SK RNA". From Rfam's summary of the family: 7SK was discovered as an abundant small nuclear RNA in the mid-70s but a possible function has only recently been suggested. Two independent studies have found that 7SK RNA binds the CDK9/cyclin T complex (known as elongation factor P-TEFb). Lineage: Eukaryota; Metazoa; Chordata; Mammalia; Eulipotyphla; Soricidae. The record is from RNAcentral.